This 74-nucleotide transfer RNA is filed under the name Candidatus Hydrogenedentota bacterium. RNAcentral's name for it is "Candidatus Hydrogenedentes bacterium tRNA-Lys". It matches the Rfam family "tRNA". From Rfam's summary of the family: Transfer RNA (tRNA) molecules are approximately 80 nucleotides in length. Their secondary structure includes four short double-helical elements and three loops (D, anti-codon, and T loops). Lineage: Bacteria; Pseudomonadati; Candidatus Hydrogenedentota. The record is from RNAcentral.
GGGGCGUUAGCUCAAUUUGGUAGAGCGUCGGGCUUUUAACCCGCGGGUUCUGGGUUCGAGUCCCAGGCGCCCCA